AGGAUCUCACUAUGUUGCCCAGGCUGGUCUUGAACUCCUGACCUCAAGUGAUCCUUCUGCCUCAGCCUCCAAAGUGCUAGGAUUACAGGUGUGAGCCACCACAUCUGGCCAGAUAUGAUUUUUAACAGGAACAAGAACAUAUUUUCACACUGUUCUAGACAUAAUUUUUUUUCCCAAUUAACAAUACAUCUUGGCAAUUAUUUCAUAUCAGUACAUAAAGCACUUUCCCCAUUCCUUUUUAAGAGCUGCAUAGUAUUCCACUGUAUAAAGGAGCCAUUCAUUUCAUUGUUCCCUAUUUUUUGCUCUCACAAACAAGGCUGUGCAGUGAAUAACCUUGAAGCCUGUCUUGUUCUACACUGCAAAUGUACUUGUAAGAUGAUAAAAUCCCAGAAGGGGAAUUGCUGGGUCACAGGGUUGUGUGCAUUUGUCUUUUAACAGAUCUUUGCUAGACUGUCUUCAAAGGAGUCACACCAAUCAGUGUACAGUCCCACCAGCAACAUAUGUAUUCUCCCAGCCUCACCAAGACAGCAUGUUAUCAAACUUUUGGUCUCUGCCAAUCGGAUUAGUGAAAAUAGCAUUGUACUUGAAUGAAUGAGUGGGCCAAUGACUAGGCACUGAAGAAGAGGCACAUAAAAGGAUGCAAAUGGGUCGGUGUCAGGCUGGGCCCUUGGCAGGCUGCUGGUCAAGGCUUGUUGACUGACUGACUGAUGACCGUGCAAUAGAAGAGCAGGGGCAGAGACAGCCAUCUCACCUCCUAUCAGGUGCACUAAGACAGGGAACCUAAAAGCAGACUCCUGGGAUAUGCCGGCAGCUGCAGGAAGAUGAAUGGGAAGAGACACACAACUCUCCCUCCCAGAUAAGCAUAACAAAGAGACAUGGUAGCAGUCCAAGCCUCUGACAAACUCUCCCACCCUGAAUCCUUAAAAACUCUUGGUCUGUAAGAGAGUGUAGCUCUGACCUAACUCGGCCAGAAGCUCCUCUCAGGUUUGUUUUCUCUGAAAUAAACCUGUCUUAACUGGCAAGCCA
Molecule: long non-coding RNA, 1026 nt
Organism: Sapajus apella (tufted capuchin)
Lineage: Eukaryota; Metazoa; Chordata; Mammalia; Primates; Cebidae
Exons: 3
Source: RefSeq, a predicted model, not a curated record